CGGGGUGGAGUAAUGUCUGGGAAACUGCCUGAUGGAGGGGGGUAACUACUGGAAACGGUAGCUAAUACCGCAUAACGUCGCAAGACCAAAGUGGGGGACCUUCGGGCCUCAUGCCAUCAGAUGUGCCCAGAUGGGAUUAGCUAGUAGGUGGGGUAACGGCCCACCUAGGCGACGAUCCCUAGCUGGUCUGAGAGGAUGACCAGCCACACUGGAACUGAGACACGGUCCAG
RNAcentral lists this ribosomal RNA (230 nucleotides) under uncultured bacterium. RNAcentral describes it as "partial 16S ribosomal RNA". It matches the Rfam family "Bacterial small subunit ribosomal RNA", at positions 104 to 334 of the family's 1533-position model. The record is from RNAcentral.